Molecule: transfer RNA, 58 nt
Filed under: Apaloderma vittatum (bar-tailed trogon)
Lineage: Eukaryota; Metazoa; Chordata; Aves; Trogoniformes; Trogonidae
Rfam family: tRNA
About the family: Transfer RNA (tRNA) molecules are approximately 80 nucleotides in length. Their secondary structure includes four short double-helical elements and three loops (D, anti-codon, and T loops).
Source: Rfam by way of RNAcentral
UAGCUCAGUCAGUUGAGCAUAGCGCUAAAAACGCUAAAGUCACGGGUUCGAUUCCCGU